UAUCCAGUGGUCCAGUGGUUACGAUGCUGCCUUUCAAUGCAGCGGACUCAGGUUCAAUUCCUGACUGGGGAA
This 72-nucleotide transfer RNA is filed under the name Capra hircus (goat). It matches the Rfam family "tRNA". From Rfam's summary of the family: Transfer RNA (tRNA) molecules are approximately 80 nucleotides in length. Their secondary structure includes four short double-helical elements and three loops (D, anti-codon, and T loops). The record is from Rfam by way of RNAcentral. Lineage: Eukaryota; Metazoa; Chordata; Mammalia; Artiodactyla; Bovidae. RNAcentral also lists the same sequence under 1 other name.